CCUACGGGAGGCUGCAGUGGGGAAUAUUGGACAAUGGGCGAAAGCCUGAUCCAGCCAUGCCGCGUGUGUGAAGAAGGCCUUCGGGUUGUAAAGCACUUUCAGUGGGGAAGAAAGCCUUGGGGCUAAUACCCUCGAGGAAGGACAUCACCCACAGAAGAAGCACCGGCUAACUCCGUGCCAGCAGCCGCGGUAAUACGGAGGGUGCGAGCGUUAAUCGGAAUUACUGGGCGUAAAGCGCGCGUAGGCGGUCUGAUAAGCCGGUUGUGAAAGCCCCGGGCUCAACCUGGGAACGGCAUCCGGAACUGUCAGGCUAGAGUGCAGGAGAGGAAGGUAGAAUUCCCGGUGUAGCGGUGAAAUGCGUAGAGAUCGGGAGGAAUACCAGUGGCGAAGGCGGCCUUCUGGACUGACACUGACGCUGAGGUGCAAAAGCGUGGGUAGCAAACAGGAUUAGAUACCCGAGUAGUC
This 465-nucleotide ribosomal RNA is filed under the name Vreelandella stevensii. RNAcentral describes it as "partial 16S ribosomal RNA". It matches the Rfam family "Bacterial small subunit ribosomal RNA", at positions 338 to 795 of the family's 1533-position model. Lineage: Bacteria; Pseudomonadati; Pseudomonadota; Gammaproteobacteria; Oceanospirillales; Halomonadaceae. The record is from RNAcentral.